AUUGAACGCUGGCGGCAUGCCUUACACAUGCAAGUCGAACGGCAGCGGACCUUCGGGUGCCGGCGAGUGGCGAACGGGUGAGUAAUGCAUCGGAACGUGCCAUUGAGUGGGGGAUAACGUAGCGAAAGUUGCGCUAAUACCGCAUAUUCUGUGAGCAGGAAAGCAGGGGACCGCAAGGCCUUGCGCUCUUUGAGCGGCCGAUGUCAGAUUAGCUAGUUGGUGAGGUAACGGCUUACCAAGGCGACGAUCUGUAGCGGGUCUGAGAGGAUGAUCCGCCACACUGGAACUGAGACACGGUCCAGACUCCUACGGGAGGCAGCAGUGGGGAAUUUUGGACAAUGGGGGCGAACCCUGAUCCAGCCAUGCCGCGUGAGUGAAGAAGGCCUCGG
Molecule: ribosomal RNA, 389 nt
Filed under: uncultured bacterium
Lineage: Bacteria
Description: bacterial SSU rRNA
Rfam family: Bacterial small subunit ribosomal RNA
Source: RNAcentral